AGAUGGAUUCUGAGACACGAAUCCAGGCCCUACGGGGUGCAGCAGGCGCGAAAACUUUACAAUGCUGGCAACAGCGAUAAGGGAACCUCGAGUGCCAGGUUACAAAUCUGGCUGUCGAGAUGCCUAAAAAGCAUUUCAUAGCAAGGGCCGGGCAAGACCGGUGCCAGCCGCCGCGGUAACACCGGCGGCUCGAGUGGUAACCGUUAUUAUUGGGUCUAAAGGGUCUGUAGCCGGCCGGAUAAGUCUCUUGAGAAAUCUGGCAGCUUAACUGUCAGGCUUUCAGGAGAUACUGUCUGGCUCGAGGCCGGGAGAGGUGAGAGGUACUUCAGGGGUAGGGGUGAAAUCUUGUAAUCCUUGAAGGACCACCAGUGGCGAAGGCGUCUCACCAGAACGGACCUGACGGCAAGGGACGAAAGCUAGGGGCACGAACCGGAUUAGAUACCCGGGUAGUCCUAGCCGUAAACGAUACUCGCUAGGUGUCGGCCACGGUGCGACCGUUGUCGGUGCCGUAGGGAAGCCG
RNAcentral lists this ribosomal RNA (520 nucleotides) under uncultured archaeon. Its description in RNAcentral is "bacterial SSU rRNA". It matches the Rfam family "Archaeal small subunit ribosomal RNA", at positions 294 to 814 of the family's 1478-position model. The record is from RNAcentral.